UUUCGAUAUUAAUUUCAAUUGAAUUAAUCAGGUCAUUUCUAUGCAAUUGGAGCCGGGGAUUAAAAUGGAAUACAAAAUUGAGAUGCGAGAUGAGCUAUUGGAUGAGGAGAAUAUUUAAUGGAAGCAUUGAGGCAUCACUUGGAUUUAUUGAGAUCUUAUGAGGCCAAUUGAGAUGGAUUUAAAGUAAAUCAACUGAUUAAUAGAAGCCAAUUGUUUCAAAAUUCGUGUGCCCCUUUGCUCACACUUAUGGACCAACUCAAAGAGCUUCUAGAAGGGAUUUGAGCUUGGAAGAGUGCUGAGCAAGCCAGCUGAGGUUUGGUGGGCCAUGUGAGGAACAAAGGGAUAAGAUUGAAGAGAAUGGUCUCCAAAAGAGAAACCGGUUUUCCUUUCAUCCCUAUCUCCUUGCUCUCUCCCUCCUCUCUUCCCUUCCUGCGACCCUUACUGCUUCUGCCUUGCUUUCGUUCUUCUUAGUGAACCGAACCAUUCUGCCCCUUCUCCUUUCAUUUUUUUCUUUCUUGCAAAUCUACCGCAACUGCCUGCCACGAUCGAAGCCCAUCUCUCCAUCUUGUUGACCGCAGCUCCUUCGCGCGUAGUCCAGCUCUCAAGAUCAAAGAAGACCGCUGCAGCUGCCACGUUGAAGCCAUCAGCCACCGAAAGAAGCUCCUUCGGUCAACAACCCAUGCACGAAGCCCCCAUCGUCGACCCACUCAGCUUCUCCGCGCGUCCAGCAGCAAAUCCGUGUUCGCGUCUUCAGUCCAGCGAGUCGACCGAAGAAAUCCAGUCCGCUUGCUACCGCUUGACAGUGCCAGCCCACUUCUCGGUCUUCCCCAUCUCACGCCAGCAAAGCUACUUCCCGUUCGUUGAUUCCAUCUCCGUGCUCAGCUUCUGCGGGACGUUUGCACGCCGGUCAACAAACGAGCCAGCAGAAGCUCCUCUGUUGACUCCGCAUCUCCAUCCCACAAGCCACCAGCAAGCCCACGCCUCUGCCAGGCAUCCCCUCUUCCUGCGUACAACGCCGAACAAAGCAGCUCCGUUCUUCACCGCGUCUUCUUCAAUUCAUGUGAGCAGCCCAGUCACAAGUCCACCGAAACAGCUUCGGCCCAGCAGCUGCUUCUCCAGUUCAUGGGCCAGCCACAGCAGCCCAGCCUAGUCCACGUGAGUUAAUUGGCCAAGCCCAAUUUCCAGCAAAGCAAUUGAAGUCCAGCCCAUAUCUCGAAGCCUAGUUCAGUUUUGUUUCAAGCCCAUCUCAGCCCGAGUGUCGAGUCCAACAUCAUUUGUAUUUCAGCGAGGCCCAGCAAGUUCAACCCAUCUUGGGCCCGUGAAGCAAGUCAGCCCAAGGCCAGCUUUUGUUGUUGGCUUGCGAGGCUUGUAGGCUCGGCUCGAGUGUCUAUCGUCGCCGCCGAAAUUUUGGAAUUCGGCCGCCGUCGCGGUUUUCGAUCUUCGCUUUACCAAGACUUGGAUGAGGAGCCUAAGGAGCAUGAAUCUGACGAGGAGAUCCUUGUUGAGGAACCUGAAGAGGAGUACGUGGAGGAGGACCCCGAGUAUGACAUCGAGUACGACCCGGAUGAGGACUGAGAUCCCGUCCUGUCUUGUCAGACCUUGUUUGCGUGUGAAUAGAUGUUAGACCAGAGUUGCGUAUAUAUAGUAUUGUAGAAUACUAUGAGAUGCAUGUAAAAAGAUGUAGUUGUGAAUUUUCAGUAUGGAAAAUGUAUAGCCUGCUUUUCUAUCC
This is a long non-coding RNA of Eucalyptus grandis, 1729 nucleotides long. RefSeq lists it as uncharacterized. The transcript has 2 exons. NCBI's taxonomy places the organism in Eukaryota, Viridiplantae, Streptophyta, Magnoliopsida, Myrtales, Myrtaceae. The record is from RefSeq and is a predicted model, not a curated record.